This is a long non-coding RNA of Daphnia magna, 3534 nucleotides long. RefSeq lists it as uncharacterized. Lineage: Eukaryota; Metazoa; Arthropoda; Branchiopoda; Diplostraca; Daphniidae. The transcript has 8 exons. The record is from RefSeq and is a predicted model, not a curated record.
AGCAUCUCUGUGAGCCACUGGUUCGCGUGUUUGCCAGGACUUCUUUAUCUUUGUAGUCUCCAUUGUGGUACAAUAGUUGACCUCAUGCAUUCAGAUGUAACACGUUUUAUCUCGUGCCUAGCAGGUGGAUCCCAUACAACUAUGGACAUUGAACACGUUAAGGACUUUCCUUACUGGCAAGCGUUGCCGUUCACCCACAUGAUAAAUUUUGCUUCAAACAAUUGACAAGUUGAACUUUUUUUAAAUUGUUUAAUUUAAUUAUUUAUGAAAAAAUUUCGAGUUCAAGUUAAUGCCUUCUUCAAUUCCAGUCACGGUUUCACAUCGAUCUUUGCCGCCUAAAUUCUUUCUUGGCGAACAUAGCGAAGUGCAGCCAUUUUAAUUAGUUGUCACCAGAAUGAAAGACCAGACAGUCUGGCUUACUUCAACGAUAGAACACUGCUGCCUGGGUCCAGUCAUGAAAUAUUCUAUCAGGACAAGAAUAUAUGGAUAUGCUUUUUUACUUGAUCUUCUAAAUUGAGGUAAUGGCUGUCUGAAGAACUCAUCUGCCGUAGAGAUGUGGUUCACAAAAUCAGAUGAUCUGAAGCAUGAAAGACAAACCGAAGGUGGUUCACCGUUCAGACGGGAAUAGCCGAUUUCGUGGAGUGACAUGAAAAUCUACAAAGAACUUGUGAUAGGUCAUCAGAGACACCCUGCCUAUUAGGCCCAGAUUCUUAUUUGUUACAGAUCACUCAAUCCUGAGACCCAUCAGCCUAUUGGUAAGGCUAAAGAGAAGAGAUCUAUCUGCCAAUUGAUGGACGCGGAUAUGAACGACGAAGUAACGAAGAGAAAAGACACCGUAUUGGUCUAUUUAACAAAACUAUGGAAGAAUGCCCUCUUAUGGUGUACGAUGUAUAAAUAAGAAGCUGGAAGCUAAAAUGCGUUUCGACACUGACCAGUUGCAGCGUUGAACACUUGCCUGCCUUGACAGUUUGUUGCACUGCCCGGCUUAACAACUUGCUGCACCUCCCUUCGGUUGCGGUCGGGUCUGCGUGAAAACCAUCAGAAAUUAAUAUCGUACUGUGGAUAAAAAGAUGACAACAAAUAAAAUGCCCGUCAUACCUUGAAUGUGUAGGGGUCCACUGUGACCCACUGCUUGGGGUCAUUGCAAGGGCCUCUGCCCAGCACGGGAUAGCAGUUUCUGUCGUUUGCGAAUCGAACGGAAUUCGAAUCGCAGCCGUCGUCUGGAAUCGAACCGUUGACUGGCAUCAUCUGCUGGAAGAAAGGUGUGGCGUCGUCCGUUGGCAGUACGACAAUAUUCGGGUUGAAUUCUUCACCUGUCGCCUUCUUUUCUUUUUUCUUUAACCAUUUUUUCAUUUUCUUGGUUAGCUUCGAUAAUCUACGCUGCGCGCCAUCGUCUUUCGAAUUUCUUCUGGAACUCUUCGGCGUUAUUCCUCGUGAAAAUAGUUUCGCCGUCCAAGAUCGCCCGUCACUCGCGUACGGGAUGGAAGAUCGGAUCAAUCUUGUGCGGUUUUCGGGCGCGAGGCUCUGCUUCUGAGCGUUAGAUCCAAGAAGAAUAGCCAGCAACGUUACGAGUAAAACGGCUAUGCUUAGAAUGGUGCCAUCCAUCGUGGUGGAUACUAUCGAAAAAUGUGAAGUUUUGUUUCCCCCACCGGCGAGCGAAUGGUUUUUUGAGCACUUGACUAGUCACAGAGUUGAGGUGAAGUGAGAUGAGCUCGUUCGCAAUGAAGGUGCCUAGGUGAAAACUGAACCCGGCGCUGGCUAGCUUUCACCUUCCGUAUGCACGCACACAAAAAGUAUUUGCCGUCGGAGAAAAUGAGUGGCAUUCUCAUCUUCCAGUUUGUUUUUUUUUUUUUCGAAUUGGGACGGUAUCGCUUUAAAACUUGGUCAGACCUAACGGUAGAUUUUUCCCUUUUCCUUUUUUGAUGCGAGGGGGGAUGCAUCUGUAGCAACUGAGUAUGAAUUAUCAGCUCUUAUUGGGUCACUCAUCACCGUCAGCUUUCACACGAACGCGUUUCUUUUUUCGCAACCGGUUUUUCUGCCACGAUAAAUAGGUGCGCAUUGAAAUAUUUAACUGAGCAAAUGAGUUAGUUUGCUUUGUUUUGUUUCUGUAAUUGUGAGAGGUCUUUGAUUAAAAACAAACUGGUCCUUUUGACAGGGGAGUUCCCUUUGUCCCGAUCAAGGACGAGUAGGUAAACGGUGCAUCCCGAAACGUUAUCUUGUCAUCGUGUAAAAUAAUUUAAUUCGAAAUAUUCUCUCGGUUUAAGCAAGUGUUGAAGUGUUACAACUCGUACUACCUCGAGAGAACAUCCAAACACACGAGAUAAUCGUAUACAGGAAGAGAAAGUGCGAUUACAAUAAUUGGUUUGAGCGUUUUAUAUUCAUGCAGGCUUCACUUUUUUUGUUUUUAAAUUUAAAUUCUUCAUUUUGUUUUUUUGGUUUGUUUUUGUUCUCUCUUCUAGGAUCCCAAUGUACGCGUUUACAUAGAAUUUCGAAAGUGUUCCGGCCGAGCAAUUCCAGUUUGGAUUUUGUAUCACACGCCAAAAGACACUGGGGUUAGUGGAACAAGUCGCAACUCGAAUGGAACAUUUUGUUAUCGGUCACGAAGUUAUUGGGGGGGGGGGGGAAACUAAGUAAAUUGACACCUAUAUGGGUGCCGCCCACGUCGUGAUUCACGCUUCCGGCAAAAAAUGUGCAGCUGCUUAAAAACUGUCGUGUCAGACGCUGAGUCACUCGGCAUGCUGGUGAAGGAAGGACGCGUGCAACUCUAGCCCAGCACGAGACGACCGACCAGUUAUGUAAACACGUAUACCUAUGGCGCAGGUCAGUGUUGUGGGCCGACAAAGCGCGGAUUUAAUCCUAGACAGACACAAUCUUAAGGAAAGAGCUUUUGUUACAGGUUAGCUUCUGCAAGGAGAAAUCUUGAUAAGUGAUGUAGUUGAGCAAUCAUCAGGGACAGCAAUCACGUCACCUAAAAACCAGAAGUUCCUGGCACGAAUGCCCGAUCUUAGACAUUUCUAAUCAAUGGUUUUAUACCAAAUUUGGUGAAGAGAAGAUGACCCUUUAUUAUUCCUGUUGCUGGAAAACAAAAGAACCCGGAUGAAGUAGGUUCAGGGGGAUAUAUUUCGCCAUGUUAACGAAGAAUUUGAAAUUUCGGUAAUCAAAGUGAAAUUCCUCGUAAGCGCCUUGAAGGCGACUAAAUGAAAGAGUUAGGUGGGUUACGUGCUCUUGUGGAAUUCUGUAAGUAAUUUAAAAGAAAAACUUUAGCCGAUAGGGGUUUAAACCCAAGUAGAAGAAAGCAACAAUUUAAUGACAAUUGCUGAACCAUUUAUAAAAGAAUUACUUGAUUAAAAACAGCUGUAACCAACCACGUAAAUGUGAGGAAAAGCCAAGACUACUUGAUCUCCAAAAAUUACGACUAAGCGAAAAAUUAAAAUGACAACAAAGAACAAACGGAAAUUGGUGUUUUGGGAAGGUCGACUCUUAUAGCAUUGCACUUGGUUGCAAACAUCAAGCGCCGUUGAGGAAUGUUAAAAA